UACGUAGGGGGCAAGCGUUGUCCGGAAUCAUUGGGCGUAAAGCGCGUGUAGGCGGCUUGGUAAGUCUGCUCUGAAAGCCCGGGGCUCAACCCCGGGAGGCGGGUGGAUACUGUCAAGCUCGAGUCCGGAAGAGGAGUGUGGAAUUCCUGGUGUAGCGGUGAAAUGCGCAGAUAUCAGGAGGAACACCGGUGGCGAAGGCGGCAUCCUGGACCAAUUCUGACGCUGAGGAGCGAAAGCCAGGGGAGCAAACGGG
Molecule: ribosomal RNA, 253 nt
Filed under: uncultured bacterium
Lineage: Bacteria
Description: partial 16S ribosomal RNA
Rfam family: Bacterial small subunit ribosomal RNA
Source: RNAcentral